Molecule: long non-coding RNA, 812 nt
Filed under: Zonotrichia albicollis (white-throated sparrow)
Lineage: Eukaryota; Metazoa; Chordata; Aves; Passeriformes; Passerellidae
Description: lncRNA (ENSZALG00000003144.1)
Source: RNAcentral
GAUUUAUCUCCUCGUGAGGCUGGAGGAUCUCCCCAGCACAGAGACUGGAGCGGCCGGGGAUGGAUGGACGGAUGGAUGGAUGGAUGGAUGGAGCUGCAGGGAGGCAGAGCCGCCGGGAGGGAGCGGCUGAGAGGGGGAGAGAAAGAAGAGCAAACACAGUGAUCCCAUCAGGGAAGAGUUUAUUUGGAGGAAUCACCCUUCAGGAAAUCAACAUUCCUUCCAGCUCUCCUUGUCCUUGGUGUGUGGGACCAGCAGUCCCAGCAGGACGAGUGACAAACCCCAGCCCUGGAGAAUUGCUUUCCUGGAGGCUUUGCCACCAGGAUUUAGCAGGUGGCUGUUUUGGAUGCAGGCAGAGGUGUGGGAAGAUUCAGAGAGCUUGGUGGCACUGGGACAGUGCCUCCUGUCAGCACAGCAGAGCUCACACUCACCUGAGCACUCCUUCACCUCCAUUCAACUGGGAGUUGUGUUCUGCAGUUCCCCCUCUGUUGCAGACAUCUUUUAUGGAAAAUCCUUUCCUUAGGAUUUUUCCUCCUGAGAAGCUGAGAGGCCUCAGGAAACAAAAUGUAAACAAUGAUUAUCUGCUGCUGUGGAAUGCAACAGGUGCAUCUGUAAUUGGCCCAUGUUGGAUGUUUGUAAUUAAUGGCCAAUCACAGUGAGCUGGCUUGGACAGAGAGUCUGAGCCACAAACCUUUGUAAUCAUUCCUUCCUAUUCUAUUCUUAGCCAGCCUUCUGAUGAAAUCCUUUCUUUUAUUCUUUUAGUAUAGUUUUAAUGUAAUAUAUAUAAUAAAAUAAUAAAUCAGCCUUCUGAAACA